AGCGAACGCUGGCGGUAGGCUUAACACAUGCAAGUCGAACGGCAGCACAGUAAGAGCUUGCUCUUACGGGUGGCGAGUGGCGGACGGGUGAGGCAUACAUCGGAAUCUACUUUUUCGUGGGGGAUAACGUAGGGAAACUUACGCUAAUACCGCAUACGACCUACGGGUGAAAGCAGGGGAUCUUCGGACCUUGCGCGAUUGUAUGAGCCGAUGUCGGAUUAGCUAGUUGGCGGGGUAAAGGCCCACCAAGGCGACGAUCCGUAGCUGGUCUGAGGGGAGGUUCAGCCACACUGGAACUGAGACACGGUCCAGACUCCUACGGGAGGCAGCAGAGGGGAAUAUUGGACAAAGGGCGCAAGCCUGAUCCAGCCAUACCGCGUGGGUGAAGAAGGCCUUCGGGUUGUAAAGCCCUUUUGUUGGGAAAGAAAAGCAGCAGGUUAAGACCCCGCUGUUCUGACGGUACCCAAAGAAUAAGCACCGGCUAACUACGUG
Molecule: ribosomal RNA, 492 nt
Filed under: uncultured bacterium
Lineage: Bacteria
Description: partial 16S ribosomal RNA
Rfam family: Bacterial small subunit ribosomal RNA
Source: RNAcentral